GACGAACGCUGGCGGCGUGCUUAACACAUGCAAGUCGAACGGAAAGGCCCUGCUUUUGUGGGGUGCUCGAGUGGCGAACGGGUGAGUAACACGUGAGUAACCUGCCCUUGACUUUGGGAUAACUUCAGGAAACUGGGGCUAAUACCGGAUAGGAGCUCCUGCUGCAUGGUGGGGGUUGGAAAGUUUCGGCGGUUGGGGAUGGACUCGCGGCUUAUCAACUUGUUGGUGGGGUAGUGGCUUACCAAGGCUUUGACGGGUAGCCGGCCUGAGAGGGUGACCGGCCACAUUGGGACUGAGAUACGGCCCAGACUCCUACGGGAGGCAGCAGUGGGGAAUAUUGCACAAUGGGCGGAAGCCUGAUGCAGCAACGCCGCGUGCGGGAUGACGGCCUUCGGGUUGUAAACCGCUUUCGCCUGUGACGAAGCGUGAGUGACGGUAACGGGUAAAGAAGCACCGGCUAACUACGUG
This 468-nucleotide ribosomal RNA is filed under the name uncultured bacterium. RNAcentral's name for it is "partial 16S ribosomal RNA". It matches the Rfam family "Bacterial small subunit ribosomal RNA", at positions 28 to 507 of the family's 1533-position model. The record is from RNAcentral.